RNAcentral lists this long non-coding RNA (499 nucleotides) under Scleropages formosus (Asian bonytongue). RNAcentral's name for it is "lncRNA (ENSSFOG00015028990.1)". The record is from RNAcentral. Lineage: Eukaryota; Metazoa; Chordata; Actinopteri; Osteoglossiformes; Osteoglossidae.
AAAUGAAGAACAGGAUCUGAGUGAGGACUGGCACUGUGCAGCGAGACAAGCAAAGAGGGAGAGCGAGGGAGCGAGAAAGGGUGGCAUUCCAAAGUGGUGGCUGUUGGACAAUUUAGCAGCAUUUCAUAACAAUUUCCCAAAAUGGAAUCAUAAGAUGAUCUUCAAAUGCCAACGUUCCCCAUCAAAACCUGUCGCACCGACCCAUGCCGUUUUCUUCAUGUUCCGUAGUAAGUGGACAGUCAUGCUGACUUAAAUUGAAAUGAUAUGUAAUUUACUGGUGAACUAGAAGGUUCUACAUUGUCAAGAGCAACUUAAGCACCACACAACAGUGGCACUGGAGACAUAGCAACUGGACCAGGAGGCUGGGAUGCCAACAUAGGAAACUGAGGGAUCAAACAUUUGUGUUAGUACGAGAAAAGUAGCAAAUUUUGUCAAGUACAUUUUGUAAGUGGUUUUGUUUGGCAGAACACAAGGUUCAAUAAAGCCCUGGAAAAUACCA